AUGGGGCAGCCCCUUUGGCCUCAUCUCCAGGAGCCGCCCCCUCCAGGGACGUCAUCACAAACCAGGAGCCCGCUCUUGUGUGACGUCAUAAAGCCCGCUCCGCAUCAUGACGUCACAGUGCGCGUAGUCCCGCCCCCUCGCUUUCUCCCUCGGCUCCUCCGUCCGCUCCCGUCGGACGGGGACAUUGCGAUGAGGCGGGAUCGCGGCCCUAAGCCGGCCCUGGGUGGAGCUGGCGAGGUGGAACUAGGUGGGAUGGCAGCCUCUCCCACGGGCCGUCCCAGACGGCUCCAACGCUACCUCCAGAGCGGCGAAUUCGACCAGUUUCGGGACUUGCCCAUCUUUGAGAGCAACUUCGUACAGGUGACUCGGUUGGGAGAAGUUGCCAACGAGGUCACCAUGGGGGUGGCAGCCUCCAGUCCAGCCCUGGAGCUCCCGGACCUAUUGCUUCUGGCCGGCCCUGCCAAGGAGAACGGACACCUGCAACUCUUCGGGCUGUUCCCCUUGAAGUUCGUCCAGCUCUUUGUCCACGACAAAAGCCGGUGUCAGCUCGAGGUCAAGUUGAACACCAGCCGCACCUUCUACUUGCAGCUGCGCGCCCCACUCAAGACCCGAGACCGAGAGUUUGGCCAGUGGGUGCGGCUGCUCUACCGCCUGCGCUUCCUCUCCGCUUCCACUGUGCCCUUCACGCAAGACCCCAAGGCGUGGAAGCCAGACUUGACCCCAAGACCUCUGAACUCUGGGGACUCUGAGUCUUCCAGCAUCCUUCAAGGUCACCGAAUGACCAGAGAUCAAAGUACCUUGCCUCAGGGCCGGGCAGAUGAGAUAUUAAAGUUAAUAAAGGUCAAUCCAUUAAGAACCAACAAGCAGGCCACGAGCGGUUUCGCCUUCAUCACCAAGUCCGCGCAGCUGCCUGGCAGGAGUUUGUCCAGCACGGCUGCCUCUCUCUUCGGUUCGCCACGUCUAGCUCUUGGGACCGCUGCCAAGGCCUAGAGGCGGCCAUACCGACACAGCUGCUUCGGUAGAGUGGCCUUCUGGGUGUGGCCUGGGUGUGUCUUUGACUCGCUGCCACUGUCGUUGCCCCUAGCCUGCACCCUCCCUCCCUCCCAGCAGCUUCUCUGGGGCCGGCCUCCCCGUGGGCUUGGGUUCACCUCUGAUGCUCUGUGGUUGCUGUGACAACGUGGCUGCCUCGCUAAAGUAGCUAUUCCAAGAGGCCACCUCACCGCGGCCUGUGUCGACGCAGCUGCUCCCAUCGCCAACCCCGGGGUGACCAAUCCCCUGCGGGAGGAAGACGGAGCUACGGAGUCAAGAAGGACAGACACUCCAGGGUCCAGACAACACUGUUUUGUUCUCAGCGAAAACUCCAGAAAGAACACAGUCCCGGGAGGUUGGGGAUUGGGGUCAGGACUCCACCACCAAUUGUCUUGGCAGGUAGGGGACAGGUCUCACUGCGGCACUGCAGGAAAACGAGAAAGCGGGUGAGCCAGGCCCGGGCACGCCUCCUCCUGAAGCCCCAGGAGGAGGAGCUGCAUCCACAUGACCAGCAGGGGGACAGGAUGACGGUCACCAUCCCGCCCCAUCCCAGGCCACUGUGGCUGGACAACCCAGAGUCACAGUGCCCCUGAUUACUGAUAUUUUGGAUCCCAGAUGGGGACAUUCUGAGCUGCUGGCUGUACGCGGUCACUGGAAUCCUGAGGCUGGGAUUUUUCUGAGCUGAUUUAAUAGUUAAUCAGGGAGACAGCAGAGUAUCAGAAAUUGGGUGGGCUUGGAAGGGCAGUGAUCUGGGGUGUUUUUGUUUGGUUUUUGAGACAACAGAGUCUCACUCUGUUGCACCAGGCUGGACUGCAGUGGUGCCAUCUCAGCUCACUGCAGCCUCGGCCUCCCCGGUUCAAGUGAUCCUCCUGCCCCAGCCCCCCAGGUAGCUGGGACAACAGGCAUGUGCCACCAGGCCCGGCUAAAUUUUUUUGUAUUUUUAGUAGAGACAGGGUUUUGCCAUGUUGCCCAGGCUGGUCUUGAACUCCUGGGCUCAAGCAACCCGCCUGCCUUGGCCUCCCAAUGUGCUGGGAUUACAGGUGAGAGCCACCGUGCUUGGCUAGAAAGUGUCGUCUCUGAGCCUUUGUUAAGGGUCCCCAGCCACCCUGUCUGCUGGGCUGUCCUCAGAGCCAGGGAAGUCAGAGGUCAGAAGUCACCAUCCGGGAGGGACUCUGGAAGUCCACAUUGAUGUCAUCCUGCUCUGAGGGACAUGGUUAGUGGCCUCCUCGCUGAGCCUUGACUGGCAGACGUCUGAUGGGCCGGAGCCCAGGGUAAAGGAGCGGGGGAAUUGUGUUCCAGGAAGAGGGAAGAGCAUGUGGCAAGUCCCUGUGGCAGGAAAGCCUGGCCAGUGUAACCGCCAACAGCCUGGUGUGGCUGGGACAGCAUGUGGGAAGAACCAGGGCGGACACACCACCGUGAACACCAGGCGGAGGGGCGCUGGGGUGGUGGGGAUCCCCCAGCAGGCUGGGAUCAGGGCUGGGGCAGAGCAGCUCUGGAUAGAGAGAGCUCUCUGGGGCCAGAGUCCAAGGGUGAAGGUGGCUGGCAGGAGGGAGAGACUGGAGACAGGGAGGCGGCUGGAAAUGGAAUAUGGGAGGAAGAGGAUGUAGCUUUCGCUGGGGCUGGAGCUGUGGGACCGAGAUGAGGGGACGGGGCAGGGAGAGGCAGGGGCAGGUGGGUGGGAGCAUGGGGACAGGCUAUGGAGGGGAGGCACUUUUGGGAGCUCCCACCACCCCUGGUCAUCCGUGUUAUCCAUAUUUGCUCUCACUCUGUCAACCCAUCUGCCUACGGGGGCCCAGGUACACUGGAGGCCUUGGGGACGUUUCCUAAGCCCUUCUCACUCAGCCUUCCUCUUCCUUGUCCUUCAACUCCUUUGGAAAAAUCUGACUCCUGCCCAAGCUGGGUCAGGGGCUCCCCCACCCCAACUCCUAGGAUGCCCUGUGCUGCCUUCAGGACAGCAGCUUGCCAGUCCUCCUCCCAGAGGGCCGGUCUCACUCGUCUCCAGAUCUCAGCGGUGCUCAGCCCGGGGCCAUCGGCCAGGCUGGCACAGGGCCCGAGCAAGGGUCAGCCAGUGUUGGGGAUGGCCACGCCCUCACCUCGGACCUCCAGCUUGCACUCAGCCAGCGCCUCGCCCAGCUCGUUGACGGCCCGGCAGGUGUAAGUCCCAGCGUCGAAGGGCGAGGGGCGACGGAUGUUCAGCGUCAGGACUCCUUGGUAAUUGGUUAUCAGGAACUUGGGAUCUUCACGGAUUUCCAUCUUGUUCUUCAUCCAGACCACCUUCGGCUGUUGAGAGUCAAGGGAGAGGAGGCCAACUUAGAGAGAGUCCCUGGGCAAUGAUGACAAAAUGGGGCUCAGGAAGCAGAUCUGGGUUCUAGGCUCUGCCACCCUCUUGCCAGAUGUUCUUGGACGAGUCACUUCUCCCUGACCCUCAGUCUCCUCUUCUGUAAAAGCAGGUUGAUAAUCCCACUUCACAGGGUAAUGGUGGGGUCUUCCCAUUGCUCUCAGGACAAAGAGCUCACUGUUUGUAGUGGCCCACAGGGUCCCACACUCUUUGACCCCCAUUACUUCUCUGCUCCAGCCAAACAGGCUACCUCACUGUCCUUCAAACAGACCAGACAGGCACCCACCUCAGGACCCUGGCACUGGCCGUUCCCUCUUCCAUAGUGCCCUUCCCUUUUUUUUUUUUUUUGGGACAGAAUCUCGCUUUGUCUCCCAGGCUGGAGUGCAGUGGCGUGAUCUUGGCUCACUGCAACCUCCACCUCCCGGGUUUAAGCAAUUAUCCUGCCUCAGCUUCCCAAGUGGUUGGGAUUAGAGGCGCCUGCCACCAUGCCUGGCUAGUUUUUGUAUUUUUAGUAGAGAUGGGGUUUCACCAUAUUGGCCAGGCUGGUCUCAAACUCCUGACCUCAGGUGAUCUGCCCGCCUCAGCCUCCCAAAGUGCUGGGAUUACAGGUAUGAGCCACUGUGUCUGGCCCAGCCCUUCAUAAUUUUAUAUUAUUUAUGUGGCUCUGGGCAAAUGUCAGUCUACCCCAACAUACAGGAAAUUUCUUGUUCGAAUCACCCAGGUCAUUGAAAGCCUCUGAAAAUGUUUGUUGUAAGAAUAAAUGGAGUGAAUAAAUGAAUGAGAGCACGAAACAGUGCUGUAAA
Gorilla gorilla gorilla (western lowland gorilla) is the source of this 4170-nucleotide long non-coding RNA. RefSeq annotates it as golgi associated RAB2 interactor 5A. The record is from RefSeq and is a predicted model, not a curated record. NCBI's taxonomy places the organism in Eukaryota, Metazoa, Chordata, Mammalia, Primates, Hominidae. The transcript is spliced from 5 exons.